RNAcentral lists this long non-coding RNA (623 nucleotides) under Homo sapiens (human). Its description in RNAcentral is "HSALNT0002903". Lineage: Eukaryota; Metazoa; Chordata; Mammalia; Primates; Hominidae. The record is from RNAcentral.
AAAAGCUAAUCGAUAACACAAACAAAAGUUAUGCCUUCCUGUUUACAUUACUCAGGUCCCAUAAUCUCAUUCCCUUAAGUCUAAGGUAUUUUAAAGUUCCAACAGCUUAGAUUUUGAAUAUCUUAUUUUCACAGAAACUACAGGGCAAUAAGGCACCAGAGUCCCAGACUCAGGACCACUGUGUGUGAUUCACCGUGAACACUGGCAUAUUAAAGGCUCUGAGAAGUCCUGUAGGAAAGGACAAUUUGAACUUUGUCUGAGCUCAUACUUUCCAAUCCCAUCUGACCUUUAGUUCUUCACUGAGUGCCCACUGGGUUAUGUUCUGGGAGCUGAGGCCACAGCAGUGAACAAAGCACACAAAACCCCCUGCCCCAUGGGGCUCCGUUCUACUGGGGCCAUUUAUCAUCAAACAUCUAUUAAUAUCUCAAGAAUGUGCCCAUCAGGACACCAUCCAUGCUGCUGCGCUUUUCCAGGCCACACAGAGGGGACACCCUCCAGGUGCACCCUGCAUGAAUAUCAGGCUCAACCGUGCUUUCAGGGUAGGAAGCGGAGGGCAUUUGAAGAGUCCUUUCCCUUCCUUCAUUCAUUUGUUGUCUCCUUGAAUAAAUGCUGUUGAAAACCUA